AAUAGAUACCCAGGUAGUCCACGCCGUAAACGAUGAGUGCUAGGUGUCGGAGGGGUCCACCCUGCGGUGCCGAAGUAAACACAUUAAGCACUCCGCCUGGGGAGUACGGUCGCAAGACUGAAACUCAAAGGAAUUGACGGGGGACCCGCACAAGCAGUGGAGUAUGUGGUUUAAUUCGAAGCAACGCGAAGAACCUUACCAGGUCUUGACAUCCCUCUGACCGGUGCAGAGAUGUGCCUUUCCUUCGGGACAGAGGAGACAGGUGGUGCAUGGUUGUCGUCAGCUCGUGUCGUGAGAUGUUGGGUUAAGUCCCGCAACGAGCGCAACCCUUGACUUUAGUUGCCAGCACUUCGGGUGGGCACUCUAGAGUGACUGCCGGUGACAAACCGGAGGAAGGCGGGGAUGACGUCAAAUCAUCAUGCCCCUUAUGACCUGGGCUACACACGUACUACAAUGGCCGGUACAACGGGCAGCGAAGGAGCGAUCUGGAGCCAAUCCUAUCAAAGCCGGUCUCAGUUCGGAUUGCAGG
RNAcentral lists this ribosomal RNA (529 nucleotides) under uncultured bacterium. RNAcentral's name for it is "bacterial SSU rRNA". It matches the Rfam family "Bacterial small subunit ribosomal RNA", at positions 777 to 1304 of the family's 1533-position model. The record is from RNAcentral.